CCUACGGGUGGCAGCAGUGAGGAAUAUUGGUCAAUGGGCGCGAGCCUGAACCAGCCAAGUAGCGUGAAGGAUGACUGCUCUAGGGGUUGUAACUUUUUUUUAUAAAGGAAUAAAGUGAGGCAUGUGUGCUUUUUUGUAUGUAGUUUAUUACUAAGGAUCGGCUAACUUCGUGCGAGCAGGCGCGGUAAUACGUAGGAUCCGAGGGUUAUCCGGAUUUAUUGGGUUUAAAGGGAGCGUAGAUGGGUUGUUAAGUCAGUUGUGAAAGUUUGCGGCUCAACCGUAAAAUUGCAAUUGAUACUGGCAGCCUUGAGUACAGUUGAGGUAGGCGGAAUUCGUGGUGUAGCGGUGAAAUGCUUAGAUAUCACGAAGAACUCCGAUGGCGAAGGCAGCUUACUAAACGGCCACUGACAUUGAUGCUCGAAAGUGUGGGUAUCAAACAGGAUUAGAUACCCCAGUAGUC
Molecule: ribosomal RNA, 460 nt
Filed under: uncultured bacterium
Lineage: Bacteria
Description: partial 16S ribosomal RNA
Rfam family: Bacterial small subunit ribosomal RNA
Source: RNAcentral